Molecule: ribosomal RNA, 252 nt
Filed under: uncultured prokaryote
Description: partial 16S ribosomal RNA
Rfam family: Bacterial small subunit ribosomal RNA
Source: RNAcentral
UACGUAGGGGCAAGCGUUGUCCGGAUUUAUUGGGCGUAAAGAGCGUGUAGGCGGCUUGGUAGGUCCGCUGUGAAAACUCGAGGCUCAACCUCGAGAUGUCGGCGGAAACCCCCUGGCUAGAGUCCGGAAGAGGAGAGUGGAAUUCCCGGUGUAGCGGUGAAAUGUGUAGAGAUCGGGAGGAACACCGGUGGCGAAGGCGGGUCUCUGGGCAAUUCCUGACGCUGAGGCGCGAAAGCGUGGGGAGCAAACGGG